GGAAUUUUCCGCAAUGGGCGAAAGCCUGACGGAGCAACGCCGCGUGAGGGAUGAAGGCCUCUGGGCUGUAAACCUCUUUUAUCAAGGAAGAAGAUCUGACGGUACUUGAUGAAUAAGCCACGGCUAAUUCCGUGCCAGCAGCCGCGGUAAUACGGGAGUGGCAAGCGUUAUCCGGAAUUAUUGGGCGUAAAGCGUCCGCAGGCGGUCUGUCAAGUCUGCUGUUAAAGCGUGGAGCUUAACUCCAUUUCGGCAGUGGAAACUGACAGACUAGAGUGUGGUAGGGGCAGAGGGAAUUCCCGGUGUAGCGGUGAAAUGCGUAGAUAUCGGGAAGAACACCAGUGGCGAAGGCGCUCUGCUGGGCCAUAACUGACGCUCAUGGACGAAAGCCAGGGGGGCGAAAGGGAUUAGAUACCCCAGUAGUC
This 422-nucleotide ribosomal RNA is filed under the name uncultured cyanobacterium. RNAcentral describes it as "bacterial SSU rRNA". It matches the Rfam family "Bacterial small subunit ribosomal RNA", at positions 358 to 795 of the family's 1533-position model. The record is from RNAcentral. Lineage: Bacteria; Bacillati; Cyanobacteriota.